UGGUGGGUAGUUUGACUGGGGCGGUCUCCUCCUAAAGAGUAACGGAGGAGCACGAAGGUUGGCUAAUCCUGGUCGGACAUCAGGAGGUUAGUGCAAUGGCAUAAGCCAGCUUGACUGCGAGCGUGACGGCGCGAGCAGGUGCGAAAGCAGGUCAUAGUGAUCCGGUGGUUCUGAAUGGAAGGGCCAUCGCUCAACGGAUAAAAGGUACUCCGGGGAUAACAGGCUGAUACCGCCCAAGAGUUCAUAUCGACGGCGGUGUUUGGCACCUCGAUGUCGGCUCAUCACAUCCUGGGGCUGAAGUAGGUCCCAAGGGUAUGGCUGUUCGCCAUUUAAAGUGGUACGCGAGCUGGGUUUAGAACGUCGUGAGACAGUUCGGUCCCUAUCUGCCGUGGGCGCUGGAGAACUGAGGGGGGCUGCUCCUAGUACGAGAGGACCGGAGUGGACGCAUCACUGGUGUUCGGGUUGUCAUGCCAAUGGCACUGCCCGGUAGCUAAAUGCGGAAGAGAUAAGUGCUGAAAGCAUCUAAGCACGAAACUUGCCCCGAGAUGAGUUCUCCCUGACUCCUUGAGAGUCCUGAAGGAACGUUGAAGACGACGACGUUGAUAGGCCGGGUGUGUAAGCGCAGCGAUGCGUUGAGCUAACCGGUACUAAUGAACCGUGAGGCUUAACCUU
Molecule: ribosomal RNA, 672 nt
Filed under: Escherichia coli
Lineage: Bacteria; Pseudomonadati; Pseudomonadota; Gammaproteobacteria; Enterobacterales; Enterobacteriaceae
Also listed under: 8 other names
Description: partial 23S ribosomal RNA
Rfam family: Bacterial large subunit ribosomal RNA
Source: RNAcentral